CCUACGGGAGGCAGCAGUGGGGAAUAUUGCACAAUGGGCGAAAGCCUGAUGCAGCAACGCCGCGUGAGGGACGACGGCCUUCGGGUUGUAAACCUCUUUUAGCAGGGAAGAAGCGAGAGUGACGGUACCUGCAGAAAAAAGCACCGGCUAACUACGUGCCAGCAGCCGCGGUAAUACGUAGGGUGCAAGCGUUGUCCGGAAUUAUUGGGCGUAAAGAGCUCGUAGGCGGUUUGUCGCGUCUGCUGUGAAAUCCCGAGGCUCAACCUCGGGUCUGCAGUGGGUACGGGCAGACUAGAGUGCGGUAGGGGAGAUUGGAAUUCCUGGUGUAGCGGUGGAAUGCGCAGAUAUCAGGAGGAACACCGAUGGCGAAGGCAGAUCUCUGGGCCGUUACUGACGCUGAGAGCGAAAGGGUGGGAGCAAACAGGCUUAGAUACCCUGGUAGUCCACCCGUAAACGUUGGCGCUAGAUGUCGGGACCAUUCCACGGUUUCCGUGUCGUAGCUAACGCAUUAAGCGCCCGCGUGGGUGGUACGGCGCGACGACGUAAACGUUAAACGGUAAGUUAGUAACGGUCGUGUUAGACGUAGUUCGACGGACGACGACGAGGGAGGAGG
This 613-nucleotide ribosomal RNA is filed under the name uncultured bacterium. RNAcentral describes it as "bacterial SSU rRNA". The stretch from base 1 to 521 matches the Rfam family "Bacterial small subunit ribosomal RNA", at positions 338 to 873 of the family's 1533-position model. The record is from RNAcentral.